RNAcentral lists this ribosomal RNA (537 nucleotides) under Spongospora subterranea. RNAcentral's name for it is "partial ribosomal RNA". The stretch from base 170 to 324 matches the Rfam family "5.8S ribosomal RNA". The record is from RNAcentral. Lineage: Eukaryota; Endomyxa; Phytomyxea; Plasmodiophorida; Plasmodiophoridae.
GGAAGGACAUUAACCCUGAGUCGGUUCUACCGGCAGACCCCAAAACCACAUGAGAACCCGGGUGCGAUUGUCUGUUGAAGGGUGACGCCCGCUCUGGGGCUAGCUCGAAACCUUAUGCAAACCGUUUUCGGAUACUGAACUUACUAAAGUGGAUCAUUUAACUAAAUACAACUCUUAACAGUGGAUAUCUUGGUUCCCACAACGAUGAAGAACGCAGCGAAAUGCGAUACGUAAUGCGAAUUGCAGAAUUCAGUGAAUCAUCAAAUCUUUGAACGCAAGUUGCGCUUUCGAGAUAUCCUUGAAAGCAUGCCUCUUUGAGUGUCGGUUUCUAUUCUCCCGGAAACGCCGUGUGCGUGAAGGGGACUCUGAGCUCUGGUCGGUCCAUGGCUUGAAAGAUCAUGCAACCCGGUGCGCGUCUCUGGCUUCUGAUUCGUCUCUAACCAUUGGCGUGCCCGGUCACAUAGAACCAUUUCUGACUCUAGAUCUCAAAUGAGGUAAGACUACCCGCUGAAUUUAAGCAUAUCAAUAAGCGGAGGA